UACGGAGGGUGCAAGCGUUGUCCGGAUUUAUUGGGUUUAAAGGGUGCGUAGGCGGCCCGGUAAGUCAGUGGUGAAAGCCUCCAGCUCAACUGGAGAACUGCCAUUGAUACUGCCGAGCUUGAGUACAGACGAGGUUGGCGGAAUUGAUUGUGUAGCGGUGAAAUGCAUAGAUACAAUCAAGAACUCCGAUUGCGUAGGCAGCUAACUAGGCUGUAACUGACGCUGAGGCACGAAAGCGUGGGGAGCGAACAGG
This 253-nucleotide ribosomal RNA is filed under the name uncultured bacterium. Its description in RNAcentral is "partial 16S ribosomal RNA". It matches the Rfam family "Bacterial small subunit ribosomal RNA", at positions 524 to 776 of the family's 1533-position model. The record is from RNAcentral.